This 70-nucleotide transfer RNA is filed under the name Aleurocanthus spiniferus (citrus spiny whitefly). RNAcentral describes it as "tRNA-Lys". The record is from RNAcentral. Lineage: Eukaryota; Metazoa; Arthropoda; Insecta; Hemiptera; Aleyrodidae.
CAUUAAAAAGCUUAUAGCAAGCUCUGAUCUCUUAAAUCAGUUAAAUUAAUGUAGCGCUUAUUUUUAAUGA